ACGUACAUUGCACGAAUUUUGUGCUCAAUCCAUGUCAACCCCACGCACUUCGACGUUUGAAGCUAAGAAAUCGGAACACGAUUUGGUGCUAUUUGGGAAGGUAAAAAAACGUAACAAGGUUUCCGUAGGUGAACCUGCGGAAGGAUCAUUACCGAGUGCUACGAGCGAGAGCUCGUUACCUCCCACCCUUUGUGAACAUACCUCUGUUGCUUUGGCGGCUCUCGCCGCGAGGGGAGGCCCUGAAAAGGGCCCGCCCCCCUCGCGCGCCCUCCGCCAGAGGACCUUCAAACUCCAGUCAGUAAACGUCGACGUCUGAUACACAAGUUAAUAAACUAAAACUUUCAACAACGGAUCUCUUGGUUCUGGCAUCGAUGAAGAACGCAGCGAAAUGCGAUAAGUAAUGUGAAUUGCAGAAUUCAGUGAAUCAUCGAAUCUUUGAACGCACAUUGCGCCCCUUGGCAUUCCGAGGGGCAUGCCUGUUCGAGCGUCAUUACAACCCUCAAGCUCUGCUUGGUAUUGGGCGCCGUCCUCUCUGCGGACGCGCCUCAAAGACCUCGGCGGUGGCUGUCCAGCCCUCAAGCGUAGUAGAAUACACCUCGCUUUGGAGCGGCUGGCGUCGCCCGCCUCGGACGAACCUCUUCUGAACUUUUCUCAAGGUUGACCUCGGAUCAGGUAGGGAUACCCGCUGAACUUAAGCAUAUCAUAGGGGGAAAAGGAAUUUGUUUAGAUUGACUCUUCAUACUUGAAUUAACUAGACUUUGGAUCGCGUUUUGUGGUGUAAUAGUGUUGUUUAUGCUUCACCCGUAACGCUUGCCUAACGGGUCUGCUUCUAAUCGUCCGUGUGUUACUUUUUUUGUAAUAAUAGGACAAGGAUCCUUUAUGGCCUUAACUCUGACACCUUUGACCUCAAAUCAGUAGGACUACCC
This 926-nucleotide ribosomal RNA is filed under the name Diplodia corticola. RNAcentral's name for it is "eukaryotic LSU rRNA". The stretch from base 337 to 490 matches the Rfam family "5.8S ribosomal RNA". The record is from RNAcentral. Lineage: Eukaryota; Fungi; Ascomycota; Dothideomycetes; Botryosphaeriales; Botryosphaeriaceae.